GUUCUGCAUAGAGAACUGAUCUACAGGAUUGCUAGUUAUUCUGAUCAGAUACAUCCUCUUCCUUUAGGUCUUAUAAUAAUUGGUUUCUCACUUUCUAUAAUCUGACAUUAGUGGGGGGUUAAUUUCUUUGCCUAUAAUCAGAAAUUAGGAUAUGAAAAUUUAACAAUCCUGCAACUUUUAGUAGUGAUGAGGGAUGUUGGGAAGGGUCUGGAUUUGGUACUUCUUUUUCCUUUUAUUUUUUUCUUCUUCUUCUUCUUCUUCUUCUUUUUCUUUUAUUUUUUUUUAUUUUUUUUAUUCAUUUUUUUUUUUUUGCACAUCCCACUAAUUCCACGGGCCACGGGCUCUCAAGUUUACAGCCGGUACUCACCUCAAUGACCCUGACUCGAAUUGGUGACCAUUGGAGAACUGAGCUACCCCUCGGGUUAGAUUUGGUAAUUCUAAAUUUGUAAAUAUUUUAAAAUGCUGAAUGUUUGGUGUUAGACUGCGGUGUUUGCUUCUUGAUGUAAGUUCAAUCAUUCCAAUUUAAUGCGGCUUCAGUCUUUGAUAGGAAAGGAUCUUGACUUCAUCCUGAGAUAUAACUUUUGUCUGUUGAUAUUUCAAACUGAUCAUAGAAUUUAACUUGAAAGGCACUAGGAAAUUUAAUGCAGGUUUAUAAUCUCUGGAUCAUCGUUCUUGUUUGUAGGUGGCAAUGUGUGAGGCAGCUUUCAAGCUGACAUUGAUAUUGGUUUGCUAUGGUUUAUUAUUAGUUGUAUUUUCGUUAGUGAUUUGGUUAAAAGAUUUAGUAUUUUUUGUCAUGAACAACAUCAAUAAUAAAUCUUGCAGAUCUACUUGAAGAUUUAAAGCCAAGAACUGUUGCAGCUCAAUAAACCACCCUAGUUAUGGUUUGCCCUUGCUUUGUCUGUGGAUAUGAAUCUUCUCAAGUCUACCCAGAUUAUGUCCCUGACUAACGGGUGCCACGUUUAGAAUGUUCGCACGUUCAUCAAACUACAUACUCAACGCUAUCAAGUAUAACCAAUCUAAUAAUAAUCUUUUGACCUUUUUGACCUCUUAAGGGAAAACAGAAUCCCCCCCCCCCCCCCCCCCCCUUUUUCUAAAGAUAACACUAACUUAUAGGAACUCUGGAUUUUUUUUUCCCCUUUCCUCAUAUUAUAUUGUUUUAUUCCUUUUUAUGUCUACUUAUUCAAUCAGACAUAUGAUUCAUAAUUUUUACAAGGUGACUUCAUUACAAAGAUGGCCAUCAAGGAUUCAAACAUUUGGCAUGAUCGGAAGUUGAGAUAAUUAAGUUCUCCUUCAAUUCUUCUACAUCAACUUGCAAGGCAAUGUAGAAUUGUUUAGGUUUGCUUAAUGGGUUAUCUGUAAAAAAUAGAUUUAGACUUGUAGUACAGUAUCAUAAACAACUUACAUGAUUACAAUUUACUUAUUUGUUUCUGGUGGUAAAUUUUUAGGAGUAAAGGAUGUUGCCUGGAAAGUUCGUAGUAGCCUGAUCCAACCAACUUAAUUGACAUUGACCUUUACUUUAGUAGUUUCUUCAUCAUUGGAAUGUGAAGUGGGAAAUUAUUCACCAAAUCCUCUUGAUUCAGAAGUAGCAGUGUAAGUGGCAGAAAAUCAAAAUUUGUUUUUUUCCUUAUUGGUUUGUCUAAGAUACCCUGUUUCUUCUGUGCAUUUUUCCCCUUAUAACUUAAUUUUUUUUUUAGUCGUCUUUUUGUAGCCUUUCCAUUCUCUAUUUCCCUUUGUUUUAUACGUUCUUCUUUCUAUUUACAAAGUUACUCGAAGCAAUUACUGAUGGCACAUUCAAUCUAUAGAUUUCUCAUUUCAUGUAGUUUUGCAUUUUUUGAGUUUGUUUUUGUUGCACAUACGUCUUGUUUUUAAGCAUCUCCUCACUCCAGAUUUUGAAGAUGUAUGAUGGUGUUGCUACUCAACCAAAUGGGAAAUCCCAAAAAAUGUAAGUUUUAUUUAUUUAUUUAUUUAUUAUUAUUAUUAUUUUUUUUUUUCACGAGGAUCAAUACUUUUUUAUUAAAGGAGAGGAGAAUUCAUGAUAUGGAAAAGACCCUGGAAAAUCCUUGUAUGUAUCUUCUAAGAGAAUGCUGUGUUUUAAUAAUGUCUGUUCUGCUCUUAUAGGCUCAAUUUGUUCGUGAUUUUAGAAUGUUAUUUUUAUUUUUGUUUCACCCGUUUCAUCUUUCCUUAUGUCCAUGUUUGUUUAUUUUGUUUUCUUUCAUUUUAUCCUGUAUUAUUAGUUUCGUGCCCUUCUUUUCUUAAAUUCAUGUACUCUAUUACAAAAGUCGUUUAAUCUUUAUCUAUAGCUUGCAGCUUUUUAGCUUAGGUCGUGAAAUGAAAAGUUGUGGGGUUAGUGAGAUGAGGUGUGAUACUUUUCCUCUGGUAAAGUCAAUGUUAAAGGAAAAAAUAUGCUGUUUCUUGCAAUUCCUCAAUUCUGAUGGUAUUGUUACUGUGUAACUGUGGUAUUUUGUAAAGAAGUCAUUUAAUCUUUAUCUAUAGCUUGCAGCUUUUAAGCUCAGGUCGUGAAAUGAAAAGUUUUGGGGUUAUUGACAUGAGAUGUUCUACUUUUCCUCUGGUGAAGUCAAUUUUAACGGGAAAAAAUAUAUUGUUUCUUGCAAGUCCUCAGUUCAGAUGGUAUUUUUACUAUGUAACUGUUGUAUUGGUAAAGAAGAUAUUGAAAAGGAAUUCUAUCCUUACUAUUAUUGGAUCUUAGAGCACUGUUAAUUUGCUGCUGGUAUAUCUGUUUCUUUACUAUCGUUUUUGCAUUUUGUUUCUUAGCUUUAUUGGUAUUUAGUAAAGAAGAUAUUGAAAAGGUAUCCUAUUCUCACUAUUAUUGGAUCUUAGAGCACUGUUAAUUUCCUUCUGGAAUAUCUUUUUCUUUACUGUCAUUUUGCAUUUUGAUUCUUAAUUUUGUUGGUCCAGAUUGUUGGUCUUACUUAUAUUUAGUAUCUUUUGCUUCUUAGAUUUUAGAGCACUGUUAAUUUCCUGGUGGUAUAUCUUUUUCCUUUACUAUCAUUUUGCAUUUUGUUUCUUAAUUUUGUUGGUCAAGAUUGUUGUUCUUAUUUAUUUCACUCUUUUGUAUCUUCUGUUUCUUCCUCAAUUUUCUCAAAUGCCUUUUCAGUAUUUCUAGGGGUCAUUUAUGAUAUUGAAAAGGAAUCCUAUUCUCACUAUUAUUGGAUCCUAGAGCACUGUUAAUUUCCUGCUGGUAUAUUUUUUUCUUUACUGUCAUUUUGCAUUUUGAUUCUUAAUUUUGUUGGUCCAGAUUGUUGGUCUUAUUUAUAUUUAGUAUCUUUUGCUUCUUGGAUCUUAGAGCACUGUUAAUUUCCUGGUGGUAUAUCAUUUUCCUUUACUAUCAUUUUGCAUUUUGUUUCUUAAUUUUGUUGGUCAAGAUUGUUGUUCUUAUUUAUAUCACUCUUUUGUAUCUUCUGUUUCUUCCUCAAUUUUCUCAAACGCCUUUUCAGUAUUUCUAGGGGUCAUUUAUUCUUUCUUUAUAGCUUUGUAGUAUUUAAGCUGCAUGGUAAUUGAUCUGGAGAAUGUUCAGAAGCAAUGGGAUUAUUUGUGUAAUUGACAGUUUAUUUCUAGAUAAUAUAAAGGACUUGUAUGAGCCCCAAAAAAUAGAAAAAAAAAAUGCACUUUCAAAUAAUAGAUUGAUGAAGAAUGUGUGGUUAAAAAAUAAGGAAAAUAUUUGAAUUUGCAUGUAAUAUUUUUUAUUUAAAAUGUGCGGUUGAAAAAAAGUAGAGAAAAAUGUAUUUUGGAAAAAAUAAGAAUCGAACAAGGUCAAAAUAAAUCAAGAUCUUUAAAUUUAUUAGAAUGUGCAAGAAUAACGGAACACGCUUUAGUGAGAAUAUGCAAUACCAUUGCAUAUAAUUAAUUUGAAGAGUUCUCAGCUGCUGUUUGUUGUAGAAUAUGCAAUCUUAUUGCAUAGAACCACAAUUAACUAAGUAAUGACGAAAAUUUUUCAAAUUUUAGAAUUUGCAGUUCCACAAAAUAUCAUAUACAGGAUGUUAUAUAUUGCUUUUUUUUUGUGACGAGAUAUAUUAUGAUCUGUAAAGUAAUUAUAAUUGCAUAUUUGUAAUUUCUUUAUUUUUGUAUUUCAUAGAGAUUCAAAUGAUUAACUGAUUUUGAACCCCUUACAAAUAUUCAAAACAUGUAAAUUGUAAUCUUCGAAAAUUUUACUCUACAAUCUUGAUCGGUCAUAUCCUUUUAGAAUGAUCUUGUUAGCGAGCAUCUGGCUGUUGUCAUGUCCUCCGAGUAUUGUACAAUUUAUGAAUUUUUCAUUUUUAAAUAUUUGUAAUACUUAAUUGAAUUUAUGAAUUUAUGAGCAAAUGCUCGGACCAAGAUAUUCUUGCAAGGGUACAAAUUGUAACGGUUAAACAAGUUGUUGGAAUUCCCAAAAUUGCUACACUUACGCAGGGCUGUUGUCCUUUGCACAAUAUGUUCGAGUGGAAACUAUGUUGAUCAAAUAAUUUUGACUUAAACAUUUGUACAGAAAAUAUUAUUGUUUCAUUGAGUUAUAAAUAUUAUUGUCUAACCAUCCCACGGUUAUUAGUGGUCUACAAUUUUAUCUAAAGGAGUUGAUGAUGCCUGUGUCUACAGUUUUGUCUGAAAGGACUUGGUUGAUGCUCAAAAUUGAGAUAACUAAGUUUUUCUUAAACAGUAGGUUUUAAUUGAUUCAAAGUAACACAGAAGUUAAUUGAGGUGUUAUACUUUUCCUUUGGUGAAGUCAAUUUUAAUGGAAAAAAUAUAUUGUUUCUUGCAAGUCCUUAAUUCUUAUGGUAUUGUUACUAUGUAACUGUGGUAUUUGGUAAAGAAGAAAAGUCAAAUAUCUUUAUCUAUAGCUUGUAGCAUUUAAGAUCAGGUCGUGAAAUGAAGAGCUGUGGGGUUAGUGACAUGAGUUGUUCUACUUUUCCUCUGGUGAAGUCAAUUUUAACAGAAAAAUAUAUUGUUGCUUGCAAGUCCUCUAUUCAUAUGCUAUAUAUUGAUCUUUUUGCGACGAGAUAUUAUGACUGUAUCUACAACUUUGUUUGAAAGGACUUGAUUGAUGCCCAAAAUUGAGACAACUAAGUUCCGUUGAACAAUAGAUUUUAUACGAUCCAAAGUAACACAGAAGUUAAGUUGUUACCAGUAACCUAAUCAGCUAUUUGCAAAAUAUAUUUGGAAAUAUGCCCGCUGUAGACAGUGAUUUAUAUAAUCAUUUUUUGAUGAUAGAUAAUGAAAAAAGAGAAUUUGUAAAAGAACACAUUUGGUAUGAGGUUAGAAUAAUGUUAAUCGGAUAUGAAGGUAAUGUUGGUGCGAAUUGAAAGUCUAUUUAUUUUAUUUUAUUAUUAUUAUUUUUUAAUGCUCUCAAUUAAGAUGUGAAGAUCCUGCAUUCACUUUAUCAUUGUUUGUUUGUGAUCAAGAAUUAUGUCUACGUGGACUUGAUUUGCUUGGUUUGAUUCUUUCCAAGAAUAAUGUUAAGGAAACACGUGCUUGAGAUAAGAGUAAUGUUAAUCACCAUGGUAACAAUUUCUAGAGUUUACACGGAUAUGCACAUUAGUCUUCCUGGUGGUGAAUUCCUAUGUUGUACACAUUUUGUUUUUCCGUUGUUGCGGUAGCUUUUGACAUGUACAUUCCUUGAAGUUGGUGUGGAUUGAAAAUUUUCUUGUUUCCUUCUAUAAUUCAGAUGUGAAGAUACUGCAUUCAUUUUGUCAUUGUUGUUUGAUGCCUGGAAUGGACUAUUUGAGGCAGCUAAAUUAUCCAUAGAACGAAAAUCCUAACAACGUUCAAGGUUGUUCAGAACUCAUCAAGGUAUUCAUUUUAAUGGGAUAUUUUUAAGAAAUAUAUUUGGACGUGAAUCUGGGAUGGGGCUUGUACAUGCGACUUUGAUAAUUUAUAUCGAGAAAAAGUUUGUCAAAAAGACACAUUUGGCUGGAAAAUGAGAAUAAUGCUAUCAUCAUGGUAUGUCAACCAGUAACAUCAUCAAUAUUGAACUCAGAUUUGGGUAGGAGGAGGUCAUUCCGAAUGUAAUUUUGAUGUUGCACGAAAAUCUUGUUCUUUAAAGUGAUAUGGUUAUUGUACUCUCUAUCAUUUCAUUUUUCUAUCAAGAGCAAGUUGGCUUAGAUGGCAGUAAUUUGUUAACUGAAUAUAAUGAAUUUGUUUCACGGUUAGGAGAGAGCAAGUGCUGCCACAAAUUUAUGAUCUAUGGAGCCAUAUUUUGUGUAACCAUCCUGUUUCUGCUGCUAUUUUCCAUAGUUCAUAGCCUGAUGAAGUCAAGUAUGUCAUGAAAUUUGUUCCAUAAUGAUGGUGAGUAGAAGAAGAGUUAGCAGGAACUUUUCUCUGGUUGAGAUUCUUGAACAUACUUUCAGAGAGCUAGAUAUUUUAUCAUGUUGAUAUUUGUUCGGUUGGAUCUAUUCUUGAUAUCAGGUGAUAAUUGAAGUUUGUCUACUCUAAUCUAACUUGUUAAAUUCUGCUGGGUUUUUUCAUCUGCAAAAUUUUCAGUUUUGCUCUAUUUUGUAUAUGACAUGUUAAUAUAAUGCCAUUUUCUUAUUGGUAUUUUUCGUUUCUUCCUUUGUCUUCCUGCAAAAAUUUUACUUGAAGCAUUACUACCAUUUAUGUUCUCCUAAGCUUUGAGUUAUGAAACUUCAUUUUUUAACUUCCCUCCCUUGAAGUUAGUUCAUCUGGAAGAUGUUUCUGUUUUCUCCUAAGCUCAUUCAGAUGUGAAGAUACCACACUCACUUAAAAUAAAAUAUCAUAUUUAUUGUCACAGAGACAUUGGUUCGCUUGGUUUGACUCCUAGAACUGAGACAGCUAUGUUUUUCCAUGGAACUUACUACUUAUAGCUCACCAAUUUAAUAAUCAUGGACUAUGACUUACACAAGCAUCUUUGACGAUUCUUAUUGAUUAAAAACACAUUUAUUGCAAAUAUGAAUGGAAGUUAACAGCCCAGAGGGAGGAAUACGGUGGUAAUUUAGGAUGUUGCCCACAAAAUCAUAUUGCUUAGAUAUAAAUUUUAGUUAGAUUUUUUUUUUGAUAUUGAGUGCUUCUUGUAGUUGUCUACUUGUCUAAGCUCAUUUGGAAUGUGCAGGUACAAUUUUGCAUUUUACGUCUUGCUCCAUGUUACAUCAUCUAAAUAUUUUGCUCCUCUUUUUUUUUUUUUUUGGGUUGUAUGUCGCUUUUGUGUUUAAUUACACCAUAUGUACUGCAUAUUCUCUAUUUGUUUUAUUUCUCCAUUUCUCCUUGAUUAUUUUGCAGAAAUUUUAUUUGAAGACAUAUUUAUGUAUGCCAUUCAAUCCUCAGCUUUUAGUUUUGAAAUAUUGGUAACUGUCAAUUGUUGUUUACUUACUUCUAUAGAGAAAUGUUUUGGUUUUCUGCAUUGCUUCUUACUCAGAUGUGAAGAUACUGCAUUCACUUGCUAUGUCUUUGUUAUCAGUAAAGGAGUAUUAUGUUUAAGAGAAGUUGGCUUGCUUGGAUUGAUGCCUAGAAUCGAGACAUCUAAGUUUUCCGUUGCACAGUAAUUUUGCUAAUCUUCAAGGUAAUACAGUAUUGCUUAUGGUUUCUAUAUUAAUGGGAUAUUUGUGUGAGAGAUUUGGUUAUAUGUCAAUCACACAUUGUGAUCUACACAAGCAUUUUUUAUUAUUCAUAUUUUCUAACACAUUGAUCAUCGAUAUUAUUAAUGUUCAUCAUCAUAGCAUGUCAUCCAUUAAUAACUUCAUUAGUGAAUGAGAUGUGUGUGUGACGAAGUUGUUCUGGUAAUUAAAGACAUUGGACAAAAAUCUUCUUGUCUGAGGUUAUGCAGUUUCUGUGCCUUAUCACUUCAUCACUUCAUUUUUCUACAGAGAGAGCUUAGUUGGCUAAGAUGAACAUCAUUUUUCAGUUGGAUGUGAUGGAUAUCGUUUGGCAAUUCGACAAGAGCAAAUAAUGCUGGAAAUUUAUGAUCCAUAGAGCUAUAUUUUGUGCAACAAUUUAUUUCUGCUGCUAUUUUCACGUUCAUAUUCUGACACUCAAAUUUGUCCAGACAUUAUUCCAUCAUUGGUGGAAUUUUUCUUUGGUUGAGAAUCCAGUUUGAUAUUUGUUCCAGUUGGAUCUGUUCUUGACAGGAGUACAUUGAAAUUUGUAUAUGGAUGCCCAUUUGAUGUGUUGAGGUACAAAUUUACAUUUGUCUAGGCUAAUAUAGACGUCAUUUUUCUGCUCUAUGUAAGGGAUUAUGCUCUGAAGUUUGGCAACAAUCAAAUAUUGCUGGAAAUUUACUAGAGUCGUAUUUAAUGGAAUGUCUAUAUGAAGUUUCGUCGAGACAUUUUUCUACUGCGACGGGGAAUAUAUAAGAAUCUUGCUGGAAUUUUCUUUGAUUGAGGUUCUUGAACAUGUUUCCAAUAGCUUGAUAUUUGUUGCACUUGGAUCUGUUCUUGAUAUGAGGAGUAAAUUGAAAUUUUUCUAUGGUGGUUCAUUUGAUGUGUUGAAGGUACAAGUUUACAUACUACAUAUUGCUAUAUUCAUCUUCAAAUUUUGUUUGUUUUAUGCUGCUUUUGUUUGCACCAUAGUUGCUGCAAUGCAUAUUUUGGUUUUCCCGUUCUCCUCUGUUCUUCUGCAGAAAUUUUAUGUGAAGCAUUUCUGCCAUUCAGUCCUCUUCUCAGUUUGUAUGUUGAAACAUUGUUAACUGAUCUGGUGUUUUUUUUUUUUUUUUUUUUUUUUUUUUUUUGCCUUCAAGUUGAUUCAGAUAAAUAUUAAUGUUUUCUGCUAUGCUCUCAAUUCAGAUGUGAAGGUACUAUAUUCACAUUUUUUGUCAUUGUUAUUAGUGAAGGAGAAUAAUGUGAAACAAAUUGGUUUGCUGGUUUGGUGCCUGGAAUCAAGACAAUUAAGUUUUUCAUUGAACAGUAGUUCUGAUAAGCUUGGAGAGAAUACAGAAUUGAUCGAGGUAAUCAUUUAAUGGAAUAUUUGCGUGACUGAUUUGGAAAUAUAUGGAACUAUUGGACUGUGACCUAUACAAGCAUCUUUGAUGGUAUGUAUUUACAAAAUUUAGUUAAAAUGACACAUUAGUCAUUGAUAUAGAUAAUGUUCAUCAUGGCAUGCGGCCCAUAACAAUUUCAAUGGUGAACUCAAAUUUGCGUGGGAUGGUAGUAAUUUCUAGUUGCACAAAUCUUGUAAGAGGUCAAGUGGUUUCUGUACUUUUUAUCACUAGAUUUUUCUACAUAGAACAAGCUUAGUUAGCUAAGAUGGUCCUCUUUUCAGCUGGAUGAAAUGGAUUUCGUUUCACAGAUUCGCAAAUGCAAAUAGUACUCAAUAUUUCACGCAACAUCUUAUUUAUACUGCUGGGUUCCAUGUUCACAUUCCAAUGUAGUCAAGAUCAUCAUGACAUUUUUCAAAUGGGAUGGAGAGUAAGUAUAAAAAUUAUGUGAAGGUACUGGUUACACUUGCAACGUUAUUUUAAUUAGUGAUGGAGAAGUAAGGAAUUGGUUCACUUUGUCUGAUGCCUGCAAUUGAAGACAGCCAAUUUUUUGUGUAGAACAAAAUUCUGAUAAACUUCAAGGUAUUUAUUUUAAUGAGAUAAUUGAAAUGGACGGUGAUACACACAAGCACGUUUAAUGAUCCCCAUUGAGAUAAAUUUUAAUUUAAAUACACAUUGGCUGCAGCUAUGAGUUAUGUUAAUUGUCAUGUAUGCCACCCAAUGACUGUGUCAAUAAUGAGCUCAGCUAUGCAAGAGAUGAAGUCGCUCUGGUGCUAAUUUCUUAUAUUGCCCAUAGAUCUUGUUCUCGAAGUCAAGUUUUUUACUGACCCCUUUCUACAAAUACCAAGAUCAGUUGGCUUAAGAUGGAUGUCAUUUUUCAGCUGGAUGAAAUUAUUUCAUUUCCCAGUUUGGCAAGAGGGAAGUAUUUCUAGAAAUCUGUGAUCUAUGGAACCAUAUUUUGUGCAACAUCUUGUUUCCGCUUCUAUUUUCUAAGUUAUGUCCUGAUGCAGUCAAGUUUGAUGUGACAGUUUUUUCCACUGGGAUGGAGAAUAUAUGAGGAGUUAAUGGAGUUCUUCAGUUGAGAUUCUUGGGCCUACUUUUCGAUAAGAGUGAUCUGUUUAAUUUGGUUCAGUUCUGAUAUCAGGAGUACAAGAAGUUUGCCUACACUUAUCUAAAACGUGCAGAUACAAGAUUUCGUGUUAUGGCCUGCUCUCUCUCUCUCUCUCUCUCUGUAUGUGUGUGUAGUAACUUAUCAUUUGUUCUAUGUUGCUUUUUUCAUUGGACCAUAUUAUAGUGCAAUGCUUAUUUUCUUGUCGUUUGUGUUUUUGCUCGACCCUCCUCCGUUCUUCUUCAGAAAUUGAUUUGAACCAUUUUUGUGGGCUUCUUCAGAAAUUGAUUUGAACCAUUUUUGUGGGUAUUCAAUCCUCUUUAGCUUGUUGAUUUAAAAUUUUUGUGAUAGACCACGUGGCUUUGACUUACCUUGUUUUGGAUUGAAAAUAUUAAUGUUUCAUACUAUGCUCUCAAUUCAGAUAAGAAGACACUGCAUUGCUUACUGGAUAGUUAUUAGGGUUACAUUAUGUUCAAAAGAAGUUAUUUGCUUGGUCUGAUGCCUGAAACUGAGACAGCUAAUUUAUACAUGAAACAGUAGCUUGGAUAAGCUUCCAAGGUAAUACAGAAUAUCAAGGUAUUCAAUUUAAUGAGAUAUUUGCAACAAAUAGAUUUGGAAAUGUACGGAUAUGGACGAUGACUUUAGCAGGUCUCUUUUGUGAUUUAUAUAGAGCUAAAUUCUGUUCCAGACUCAUUGGUCAUAGAUAUAAGUGUCAUUCUGGUAAUUUCCCAUAUUGCACACAAAUCUUUUUCUUGAAGUUCUGGUUUAUGUACACAUUUCAGUUUUCUAUGAGUAGCAAGUUUAGUUAGCAAAGAUGGGUCUCAUUUUCAGUUUAUGUACACAUUUCAGUUUUCUAUGAGUAGCAAGUUUAGUUAGCAAAGAUGGGUCUCAUUUUCCAGCUGGAUAUAAAUUUCAUUUUGCAGCUUGGCAAGAUUUAAUAUUGCUAGCUAUUUGUGACGGGAGAGUUGUAUUUCGU
This 10998-nucleotide long non-coding RNA is filed under the name Olea europaea subsp. europaea. The record is from RNAcentral. Lineage: Eukaryota; Viridiplantae; Streptophyta; Magnoliopsida; Lamiales; Oleaceae.